This 1274-nucleotide ribosomal RNA is filed under the name Salmonella enterica subsp. enterica serovar Javiana. RNAcentral's name for it is "partial 23S ribosomal RNA". It matches the Rfam family "Bacterial large subunit ribosomal RNA", at positions 911 to 2167 of the family's 2925-position model. The record is from RNAcentral. Lineage: Bacteria; Pseudomonadati; Pseudomonadota; Gammaproteobacteria; Enterobacterales; Enterobacteriaceae.
UGUUUCGGCUAGGGGGCCAUCCCGGCUUACCAACCCGAUGCAAACUGCGAAUACCGGAGAAUGUUAUCACGGGAGACACACGGCGGGUGCUAACGUCCGUCGUGAAGAGGGAAACAACCCAGACCGCCAGCUAAGGUCCCAAAGUCAUGGUUAAGUGGGAAACGAUGUGGGAAGGCCCAGACAGCCAGGAUGUUGGCUUAGAAGCAGCCAUCAUUUAAAGAAAGCGUAAUAGCUCACUGGUCGAGUCGGCCUGCGCGGAAGAUGUAACGGGGCUAAACCAUGCACCGAAGCUGCGGCAGCGACACUCAGGUGUUGUUGGGUAGGGGAGCGUUCUGUAAGCCUGUGAAGGUGGCCUGUGAGGGUUGCUGGAGGUAUCAGAAGUGCGAAUGCUGACAUAAGUAACGAUAAAGCGGGUGAAAAGCCCGCUCGCCGGAAGACCAAGGGUUCCUGUCCAACGUUAAUCGGGGCAGGGUGAGUCGACCCCUAAGGCGAGGCCGAAAGGCGUAGUCGAUGGGAAACGGGUUAAUAUUCCCGUACUUGGUGUUACUGCGAAGGGGGGACGGAGAAGGCUAUGUUGGCCGGGCGACGGUUGUCCCGGUUUAAGCGUGUAGGCUGGUUUUCCAGGCAAAUCCGGAAAAUCAAGGCUGAGGCGUGACGACGAGGCACUACGGUGCUGAAGCAACAAAUGCCCUGCUUCCAGGAAAAGCCUCUAAGCAUCAGGUAACAUCAAAUCGUACCCCAAACCGACACAGGUGGUCAGGUAGAGAAUACCAAGGCGCUUGAGAGAACUCGGGUGAAGGAACUAGGCAAAAUGGUGCCGUAACUUCGGGAGAAGGCACGCUGACACGUAGGUGAAGUGAUUUACUCAUGGAGCUGAAGUCAGUCGAAGAUACCAGCUGGCUGCAACUGUUUAUUAAAAACACAGCACUGUGCAAACACGAAAGUGGACGUAUACGGUGUGACGCCUGCCCGGUGCCGGAAGGUUAAUUGAUGGGGUCAGCGCAAGCGAAGCUCCUGAUCGAAGCCCCGGUAAACGGCGGCCGUAACUAUAACGGUCCUAAGGUAGCGAAAUUCCUUGUCGGGUAAGUUCCGACCUGCACGAAUGGCGUAAUGAUGGCCAGGCUGUCUCCACCCGAGACUCAGUGAAAUUGAACUCGCUGUGAAGAUGCAGUGUACCCGCGGCAAGACGGAAAGACCCCGUGAACCUUUACUAUAGCUUGACACUGAACAUUGAGCCUUGAUGUGUAGGAUAGGUGGGAGGCUUUGAAGUGUGG